CCCGAGCGCCCGUCCCGGAGCCCGCUCCCCGGCGGCGGGCGGCGGGGCAGGGCGCGGGGCUGCUUUACCCGGUCUCCUCCUCCUCGAGCUCCGAGAUGUCCGCGAAGAUGAGGAAGCCCACGAGCAGGAUGCCAAGUGUUGCCAGAAGAUUGAGCAGCGGUUUCGUUGGGGUCAGAACUUCCAGCCAGGACCUGCCCAUCAAAACCCAAUAAUCUAGGAAGUAUUUGGAAUGAAAACCCUUUCCUUGAUGUUGAUAUGGCACCAGAUCUACGGCUCUGCAUCAGAAAAGGGAAUCCACCUCUUGGAUGAGUAUCAUGAGAGCAGUCCCUAAAGAGGGAAGAGAGAGGAAUUUGUCAUGGUGCUAGGAGGAGCACUUCUCAACAUCUCUGCCCGAAGAACAGGUUUGGCCUGCCUUGGAUUAGACUGAGGCCUCAUUGCACAAUCCAUGAGAUGUUUCCUAAGCCUGAACUCCUGUGAUUGCUGGGUGAGGCUGGGAAAAGAGCAGCAAAUGGUACACUCCAUGAAAAAUGGGCUUCUCCCAAGCAAUAAAGGCACUGUUCGUGGUCAUUGAUGCCUGGAAAGGAGUAGGGGCAUAAUCUCUGUCCUGUAUUGGGAAGGAAGAGGAAAGGAAGGGAAAUUCUCACAUUCUAAUUAGAAAUUAAUUCUAGGAAAACUAGAGCUAAAUCUAACUAAUAAUAACUCUAUUUACAAUAUUUGCAGGUUUGAAGACAGGAUCAGCUUGGGAUGCUGGAGGGUUCUGAUUCAGACCAUGCGGCAGUAUAGGAUGAAUGGGAGAGGGGGGCUGUUCACAUCAUCCCUUUAGGCCCUUGGUUUGGAGCAUGAGGAGGAGGAGAAGAACACAGGCCCGACCAAUGGACAUUGCAAACAAGAAUCCUAUGGUCUCAGAUGCAAGGAGCUCAUGCAUACUCCACAGUGUUACACACACAAAAAUCAGCACUUGAAGAAGAACUAGGGAAUCUACCCAUUACAAUUACUUUGACUUCAACUAUAAACAGUACAUCCUUAUCUAAGGGCCUGACCCUGCUUUCCCUGUGCACCCAAAACUCCCACUGAAGUCAACUAUGGCAUUUUUAAAAUAAAAACUCCUUUAGUUUUUAGAAUUUCAGGACAUGGGAACCCAUAUAAUACCAAGCUAACAAAAAAGCUUGGAUGAAACAAACCACUAGAUCGCACGUAGACCUUCUCACCAGAUUUCCAGUCCAGUUUUGCAAACUCGAUGUCCCAAAAACUUGACAAGUACUCAGAAAAAUCAAUGUAAAGGUCUUGACCUCAGCAGGUUUACACUGGAGCUGGAUUUGAUGCCUGGACUUGGCAUUCAAUCAAACUCUUGAACCUUCUGAGGUUCACGCAUUCCUAGUGGAAAAAAAUCCUUCCAUUUAUUCAUGGAAAUAUAGUGAUCAAUCAACUUUUAUCGUUCCAGCUUUCAUUAUAGCAGCUUAGAACAACAGAAUAAAAGCACAUAAUGAAAACAUUGUAAAGAUGUAAUAAAAACACACAAUACUUGACUGUGCAAGCAUUGCUGUUUUAGCACAUCUUGGGGACCUGCACAGGAGAGGGUCCAGUCUUCUGGUGCUCCAUAACACUACAUCACACUCUUUCCACUCUGGGAAUUGUGCGAUUUAAACCACAGGAGUUAUGGGAGACUUUCAAAAUGUUUAGAUGCAGCAAAUACCUGAAAGGUCUCUGGAUGGGUUUUGUCAUCUUGGCAUGGAAAGUUAGGUGGGAAAAUCACUUGAGAACAGCCUCUCUUGUUGUACCAUGGAACUUCCUGGAAAUAGCAAGGAGAGAAAAGAUAGGUUCAGUUUGGGAUUUGGAAGAAAGUUAAGGGAGGUGUGGGUGAUCAUGAUGUUCUUUGAUCUGUCCAGACCCAUCUCUAAUUCAAACUUUUUGGACCAGAUUCAGUCUAGAUAUGAAUAGACUCAACUCCCAAAGUACCUGCCAAAGGCUGGAUUUGGCUUUUUGUGGAUGCCUUGUAUCACAAAGGUGCCACCUGGUUUGCUUUCAAGAGAUUAUUUCAUCUAAUCUAAUCUAAUCAUAGAAUAUCAGGGUUGGAAGAGACCUCAGGAGGUCAUCUAGUCCAACCCCCUGCUCAAAGCAGGACCAACCCCAACACCAGUUCAUGAAGCACUAUGGUAUAUGAGCACCUAACUAUCCCUUCUCCGGCUCUCAUUAUUAUAAUAUUCUGGCUCCAGAAUUAAUCCUUUCCUGCAUACAUUUUCAGUUUGAAAAAAAAAAGUGGGAAAUAUCUCCCAGGAUGGGAAGAUCUAAUUAGUUUCACCCACCCCCUUUUGGUGUGUUCAUGCUCAUGUCUCUUUUCACAGUGAUAAAUCAAUCUAGGCAGUGAUUUUACUGUCAGUUCCAAGAGGCCCAGAGAGUUUGUCUUUUAUUUUAAUAAUUAACAAUUAAUGUUUUCACCUUCAAAAUGUUUCAUAAACAUUAAAGAGUCACUAUGAAUUUAACGAAAAGAAAAGGAGUACU
Dermochelys coriacea (leatherback sea turtle) is the source of this 2499-nucleotide long non-coding RNA. RefSeq lists it as uncharacterized. The record is from RefSeq and is a predicted model, not a curated record. The transcript has 3 exons. Lineage: Eukaryota; Metazoa; Chordata; Testudines; Dermochelyidae.